This 440-nucleotide ribosomal RNA is filed under the name uncultured bacterium. Its description in RNAcentral is "partial 16S ribosomal RNA". It matches the Rfam family "Bacterial small subunit ribosomal RNA", at positions 338 to 795 of the family's 1533-position model. The record is from RNAcentral.
CCUACGGGUGGCAGCAGUCGGGAAUAUUUCACAAUGGAGGAAACUCUGAUGCAGCGCCGCCGCGUGAGUGAAGAAAUAUUUCCUUAUGUACAGCUCUAUCCGCAUGGAAGCAAGUGACAGUUACUGCACAAGAAGCUCCGGCUAAAUACGUGCCAGCAGCAGCGGUAAUACCUAUGGAGCAAGCGUUAGCCGGCUUUACUGGGUGUAAAGGGAGAGUAGGUUUAGGAGCAAGUCCGAAGUGAAAACCCAAAGCUCACCUAGGGGAAUGCUCUAGAAACUGCUCAGCUAGAGUGCAGGAGAGGGAAGUGGAAUUCUUAGUGUAGCAGUGAAAUGCGUAGAUAUUGGGAGGAACACUAGUGGCGAAGGCGGCUUGCUGGACUGUAACUGACGCUGAGGCUCGAAGGCGUGGGGAGCAAAAGGGAUGAGAUACCCUUGUAGUC